GCUCCAGUAGCAUAGUCAGUUAUUGCGCGGCAUUGGUAAUGCCGAGGUCUCGGGUGCGAAUCCCGACUGGAGCU
This 74-nucleotide transfer RNA is filed under the name Candidatus Iainarchaeum sp. Its description in RNAcentral is "tRNA-Thr". It matches the Rfam family "tRNA". Rfam says of the family: Transfer RNA (tRNA) molecules are approximately 80 nucleotides in length. The record is from RNAcentral. Lineage: Archaea; Nanobdellati; Candidatus Iainarchaeota; Candidatus Iainarchaeia; Candidatus Iainarchaeales; Candidatus Iainarchaeaceae.